This 253-nucleotide ribosomal RNA is filed under the name uncultured bacterium. RNAcentral describes it as "partial 16S ribosomal RNA". It matches the Rfam family "Bacterial small subunit ribosomal RNA", at positions 524 to 776 of the family's 1533-position model. The record is from RNAcentral.
UACGAAGGGGGCUAGCGUUGCUCGGAAUUACUGGGCGUAAAGGGAGCGUAGGCGGACAGUUUAGUCAGAGGUGAAAGCCCAGGGCUCAACCUUGGAAUUGCCUUUGAUACUGGCUGUCUUGAGUACGGGAGAGGUGUGUGGAACUCCGAGUGUAGAGGUGAAAUUCGUAGAUAUUCGGAAGAACACCAGUGGCGAAGGCGACUUACUGGACACAUAUUGACGCUGAGGUGCGAAAGCGUGGGGAGCAAACAGG